ACAAAAGCUUCACCUACAAAACCUUUACACUAUCUUGAUCAAGAUAGUGUGAAGCAAAAUCAAUUCAUGGUACCCAACAAAGCUUCAACCUCAAAGCUUCACCUACAAAGCUUCAACACCAAAACUUCACCUACAAAGCUUCUUUGGGCUUAACAACUUUCAUAACACAUAUAUAUGAAGGAGGAGUUUUGGGCAACCACUUA
This 203-nucleotide long non-coding RNA is filed under the name Malus domestica (apple). RNAcentral describes it as "long non-coding RNA (MDOM_LNC018671)". Lineage: Eukaryota; Viridiplantae; Streptophyta; Magnoliopsida; Rosales; Rosaceae. The record is from RNAcentral.